Molecule: long non-coding RNA, 456 nt
Filed under: Anas platyrhynchos platyrhynchos (common mallard)
Lineage: Eukaryota; Metazoa; Chordata; Aves; Anseriformes; Anatidae
Description: lncRNA (ENSAPLG00000029548.1)
Source: RNAcentral
AUUCAAUAUGAGUAUGACCAAAAAGCUACUUACUUCAGUACAUGGAACAGGAUUAAGCUCCUAGAACUGACUAUGGAAUGCAUUUCUAGAGCUACCAGUGUCAACCGCACCUUUCAAGGCAGAUACUACUAAGCAAGCUGAAUGGACAUCACAGACCUGUUCAUGAGUGAUAUCUGUCCACCUAUAUGGGAAGUUCCAGCAACUAUGUUAUCAAGAGUGCUGGGCCAGAUUCGGAAACCCUGUAAAGUUUACAGUUAAGGCAAAAGUGGAGGAGCAAACACUGGAAAGAGGGCCAGAGGACUUCUGCAACCUAGAAGCCCCAAUGAAGUUGCUAUAGAGCUCACCGCAGAAGGACCUCAGUGCACAGAGCAUGGGACUCCUUUUGAGGACCUCUUUUAGACACCAAAAUUGAAGAUCUAGACGUGUAGCCAUCUUUUCUGACUUCAUCUCACCAAA